Molecule: ribosomal RNA, 279 nt
Filed under: uncultured bacterium
Lineage: Bacteria
Description: partial 16S ribosomal RNA
Rfam family: Bacterial small subunit ribosomal RNA
Source: RNAcentral
UGCCAGCAGCCGCGGUAAUACGUAGGGGUCGAGCGUUGUCCGGAGUUACUGGGCGUAAAGCGCGCGCAGGUGGCUCAUUACGCCCGGCGUGAAAGCCCCCGGCUCAACCGGGGAAGGUCGUCGGGUACGGGUGAGCUUGAGGGUAUCAGGGGCAGGUAGAAUUCCCGGUGUAGUGGUGAAAUGCGUAGAGAUCGGGAGGAAUACCCGUGGCGAAGGCGGCCUGCUGGGAUACACCUGACACUGAGGCGCGAAGGCGUGGGGAGCGAACGGGAUUAGAUA